ACUACAAGCUCUGGCUUAAAACCCAAAGGACUUGGCGGUGCUUUAGAUCCACCUAGAGGAGCCUGUCCUAUAACCGAUGAUCCCCGUUCAACCUCACCUUUCUUUGUUAACCCCGCCUAUAUACCGCCGUCGUCAGCUUACCUCAUGAGAGACUUAUAGUAAGCAAAACUGGUACAGCCCAGAACGUCAGGUCGAGGUGUAGCGAAUAGAAAGGGAAGAGAUGGGCUACAUUCCUUGAAUUAAGGAAUACGAAUGAUGUUCUGAAACGUUCAUCCGAAGGAGGAUUUAGCAGU
RNAcentral lists this ribosomal RNA (293 nucleotides) under Gadopsis marmoratus. RNAcentral's name for it is "partial 12S ribosomal RNA". It matches the Rfam family "Bacterial small subunit ribosomal RNA", at positions 879 to 1339 of the family's 1533-position model. The record is from RNAcentral. Lineage: Eukaryota; Metazoa; Chordata; Actinopteri; Centrarchiformes; Percichthyidae.